AGAGUUUGAUCAUGGCUCAGAUUGAACGCUGGCGGCAGGCCUAACACAUGCAAGUCGAGCGCGAAAGUUCCUUCGGGGAUGAGUAGAGCGGCGGACGGGUGAGUAACGCGUAGGAAUCUGCCCGGUAGUGGGGGACAACUCGAGGAAACUCGAGCUAAUACCGCAUACGCCCUAAGGGGGAAAGCAGGGGAUCUUCGGACCUUGCGCUAUCGGAUGAGCCUGCGUCAGAUUAGCUAGAUGGUGGGGUAAUGGCCUACCAUGGCGACGAUCUGUAGCUGGUCUGAGAGGAUGAUCUGCCACACUGGGACUGAGACACGGCCCAGACUCCUACGGGAGGCAGCAGUGGGGAAUAUUGGACAAUGGGGGCAACCCUGAUCCAGCCAUGCCGCGUGUGUGAAGAAGGCUCUAGGGUUGUAAAGCACUUUCAGUAGGGAAGAAAAGUUAAUAGUUAAUACCUAUUAGCCCUGACAUUACCUACAGAAGAAGCACCGGCAAACUCCGUGCCAGCAGCCGCGGUAAUACGGAGGGUGCGAGCGUUAAUCGGAAUUACUGGGCGUAAAGCGCGCGUAGGCGGUUUGGUAAGCUGGAUGUGAAAGCCCCGGGCUCAACCUGGGGAAUUGCAUCCAGAACUGCCUGACUAGAGUACAGUAGAGGUGAGUGGAAAUUUCCUGUGUAGCGGUGAAAUGCGUAGAUAUAGGAAGGAACAUCAGUGGCGAAAGGCGGCUCACUGGACUGAUACUGACGCUGAGGUGCGAAAGCGUGGGGAGCAAACAGGAUUAGAUACCCUGUAGUCCACGCCGUAAACGAUGUCUACUAGCCGUUGGGGUCCUUGAGACUUUA
Molecule: ribosomal RNA, 840 nt
Filed under: uncultured bacterium
Lineage: Bacteria
Description: bacterial SSU rRNA
Rfam family: Bacterial small subunit ribosomal RNA
Source: RNAcentral